GACAGAGGGUGCAAACGUUGCUCGGAAUUACUGGGCGUAAAGCGCGUGUAGGCUGACCGGAAAGUCGGGCGUGAAAUCCCUGAGCUCAACUCAGGAACUGCACUCGAAACUCUCGGUCUAGAGUGGUGGAGAGGGAAGUGGAAUUCCUGGUGUAGAGGUGAAAUUCGUAGAUAUCAGGAGGAACACCGGUGGCGAAGGCGGCUUCCUGGACACCAACUGACGCUGAGGUGCGAAAGCGUGGGGAGCAAACAGG
RNAcentral lists this ribosomal RNA (253 nucleotides) under uncultured bacterium. Its description in RNAcentral is "partial 16S ribosomal RNA". It matches the Rfam family "Bacterial small subunit ribosomal RNA", at positions 524 to 776 of the family's 1533-position model. The record is from RNAcentral.